AUACAGGGGCAGCGAACGCCUCACGAGGCGCCAGCCAAAGCAUCGCAUCCACUACUAUAACCACAUUUGCCCCGCAUACCCUCCAGAUACGUACGCGGGCUUAAAUGUAUUACUCAAAGGAUGCACCCAUG
This is a non-coding RNA of Chromatiales bacterium (ex Bugula neritina AB1), 131 nucleotides long. The record is from Rfam. NCBI's taxonomy places the organism in Bacteria, Pseudomonadati, Pseudomonadota, Gammaproteobacteria, Chromatiales.